Molecule: ribosomal RNA, 254 nt
Filed under: Acidimicrobiales bacterium
Lineage: Bacteria; Bacillati; Actinomycetota; Acidimicrobiia; Acidimicrobiales
Also listed under: 1 other name
Description: partial 16S ribosomal RNA
Rfam family: Bacterial small subunit ribosomal RNA
Source: RNAcentral
UACGUAGGGGGCGAGCGUUGUCCGGAUUUAUUGGGCGUAAAGAGCUCGUAGGCGGCUUGGCAAGUCGGGUGUGAAACCUCCAGGCUUAACCUGGAGACGCCACUCGAUACUGCCAUGGCUAGAGUCCGGUAGGGGACCACGGAAUUCCUGGUGUAGCGGUGAAAUGCGCAGAUAUCAGGAGGAACACCGGUGGCGAAGGCGGUGGUCUGGGCCGGCACUGACGCUGAGGAGCGAAAGCGUGGGUAGCAAACAGG